AACAUGUGAUGUAACUGCGCAGAUGGUGCUGGUAUGUUGUUGGAGAAGUAUGAAGGAAGUUGCUUUACUUUUAGGCAUGUUGUGCCAGCUUCUGCCCAUGCAGCCUGUGCCAGAAUCUUCUGAUGGAUUAUUGACGGUGGAGCAGGUAAAUUUUCACAAGCAACAGGACAGUAAGAUGACUUGCUACUGAACUUUUUCUUAAAUGAUUGAUUCCCUAGAGCACUUCUUGUGAAGCAGUGUGCUGUCACCAGUUUCUCCAGGAGGAAAAUGUGUUCAUUCAGAGGUAAAAGAAAUAGGAGAUUACUUUAAACAACACCUUUUGCAGUCCAGGCACAGAGGAGCAUUUGAACUGGCUUAUACUGGUUUUGUGAAACUCACUGAAGUACUAAACAGGUGCCCAAAUGUGAGUCUGCAAAAGCUGCCAGAACAGUGGCUAUGGAGUGUUUUAGAGGAAAUUAAAUGCAGUAAUCCUUCAUCUAAACUCUGUGCUACAAGGCGCAGUGCUGGAAUUCCUUUCUACAUACAGGCACUGUUGGCGUCUGAA
RNAcentral lists this small RNA (544 nucleotides) under Pongo abelii (Sumatran orangutan). RNAcentral's name for it is "processed transcript". The record is from RNAcentral. Lineage: Eukaryota; Metazoa; Chordata; Mammalia; Primates; Hominidae.